GACGAACCGUCCAAACGUUGUUCGGAAUCACUGGGCUUAAAGGGCGCGUAGGCGGUCAGCCAAGUCCGGGGUGAAAUCUUUCGGCCCAACCGGAAAAUUGCCUUGGAUACUGGCUGACUAGAGGGAGGUAGGGGCAUGUGGAACUUCCGGUGGAGCGGUGAAAUGUGUUGAUAUCGGAAGGAACACCGGUGGCGAAAGCGACGUGCUGGACCUCUUCUGACGCUGAGGCGCGAAAGCUAGGGGAGCAAACGGG
RNAcentral lists this ribosomal RNA (253 nucleotides) under uncultured bacterium. Its description in RNAcentral is "partial 16S ribosomal RNA". It matches the Rfam family "Bacterial small subunit ribosomal RNA", at positions 524 to 776 of the family's 1533-position model. The record is from RNAcentral.